Non-coding RNA from Agrilus planipennis (emerald ash borer), 73 nucleotides. The record is from Rfam. Lineage: Eukaryota; Metazoa; Arthropoda; Insecta; Coleoptera; Buprestidae.
CCUCUCAUAGCUUAGUGGUCAGAGUAUUGGUGUAUAAAGCCAAAGGUCCGGGGUUCGAUUCCCGGCGAGGGUG